GACAGAGGGUGCAAACGUUGUUCGGAAUUACUGGGCGUAAAGGGCGCGUAGGCGGCGUGGUAAGUCACUUGUGAAAUCUCUGAGCUUAACUCAGAACGGCCAAGUGAUACUGCUGUGCUAGAGUGCAGAAGGGGCAAUCGGAAUUCUUGGUGUAGCGGUGAAAUGCGUAGAUAUCAAGAGGAACACCUGAGGUGAAGACGGGUUGCUGGGCUGACACUGACGCUGAGGCGCGAAAGCCAGGGGAGCAAACGGG
RNAcentral lists this ribosomal RNA (253 nucleotides) under uncultured bacterium. RNAcentral describes it as "partial 16S ribosomal RNA". It matches the Rfam family "Bacterial small subunit ribosomal RNA", at positions 524 to 776 of the family's 1533-position model. The record is from RNAcentral.